CCUGUGGACGCUGAUGGAAAUGAGCGAGAGGAUGUGUUGCAGGCAAAUGAGCCAGUGGAUUUACUCCUCUUACCUGGACUUGCAUUUGACAGAUCUGGGAGACGCAUGGGCCGUGGUGGAGGUUAUUAUGAUACCUUCCUGAAGAAAUACCAGGAGCUGGCAAAGGAGAGGAAUUGGAGGCAGCCCCUACUUGGUGUGGAUUGCUUCUGUUUCAUUUAUAAUCAUAAAAAGCGAAAAGCAAUGCCUAUGAGUAAAAUAACCUGAUUACAUUAUUUAUGUUUGUACUUUGAUUUUGCAGUUGCACUGUCAUACUCUUUGCAGAUCAUGGAUGAAGGAAUUAUACCAGUCACUCCAACUGAUGUACCAGUGGAUGCUCUUGUAUCCCCAUCUGGUGUAAUUCCCAUUAGCCAGGCUGCCUUUGACAGAAUGAAACUUUAACACUGGACUUGGAAAUCAAACCUAAACGCUCUCUUCAAUGGAAGGAAGGCUCCGACAUGCCACUGUCAAGAGGCCACAGCUGAGCGUCCACUGUUAUGGCUUUUGAGGUUGUGUAAUGGGUUCCAGAUAUUUGUAUUUGUACUCCAUUGAGUGAAACUAACAAGCUUGAGAUAUUAGAAUAAUGAUUGAGAAUAGGGUCCAUGCCAACUGCCAGGUUGUUUUUGUUUUGGCAAAAUGUUGUCAUUCUUUUAACUCUCAA
Long non-coding RNA from Pistacia vera, 697 nucleotides. RefSeq lists it as uncharacterized. The record is from RefSeq and is a predicted model, not a curated record. NCBI's taxonomy places the organism in Eukaryota, Viridiplantae, Streptophyta, Magnoliopsida, Sapindales, Anacardiaceae. The transcript is spliced from 5 exons.